This 944-nucleotide ribosomal RNA is filed under the name uncultured archaeon. Its description in RNAcentral is "bacterial SSU rRNA". It matches the Rfam family "Archaeal small subunit ribosomal RNA", at positions 1 to 922 of the family's 1478-position model. The record is from RNAcentral.
UUCCGGUUGAUCCUGCCGGACCUCACUGCUAUCGGGGUGGGACUAAAACAUGCAAGUCGAGCGCCUCCAAGCUAUGGUGAAGGCGCGGCAUACGGCUCAGUAACACGUGGCCAACCUACCCUUGGGACGGAGACAACCCCGGGAAACUGGGGCUAAUCCCCGAUAGGUAAGGAAUCCUGGAAUGGAUCUUUGCUGAAAGGGCGUCUAGACCAUGCUUCUUGACGUCGCCCAAGGAUGGAGCCGCGACCGAUCAGGCUGUUGGCGAGGCAACGGCUCACCAAACCUAUAACCGGUACGGGCCGUGAGAGCGGGAGCCCGGAGAUGGGCACUGAGACAAGGGCCCAGGCCCUACGGGGCGCAGCAGUUGCGAAAACUCCGCAAUAUGCGAAAGCGUGACGGGGCUACCCCGAGUGCCGCCCGCUGAGGGCGGCUUUUCCACGGUGUAAGGAGCCGUGGGAAUAAGGAGAGGGCAAGACUGGUGUCAGCCGCCGCGGUAAUACCAGCUCUCCGAGUGGUGAGGACGAUUAUUGGGCUUAAAGCGUUCGUAGCCGGCUCAACAAGUCUUCCGUUAAAUCCAACGAUCUAAUCGUUGGGCCGCGGGAGAUACUGCUGGGCUAGGAGGCGGGAGAAGCCGACGGUAUUCCCGGGGUAGGGGUGAAAUCCUGUAAUCCCGGGAGGACCACCAGUGGCGAAGGCGGUCGGCUAGAACGCGCUCGACGGUGAGGGACGAAAGCUGGGGGAGCGAACCGGAUUAGAAACCCGGAUAGUCCCAGCUGUAAACGAUGCGGGCUAGGUGUUGGGGUGGCCACGAGCCACCUCAGUGCCGCAUGGAAGCAAUUAAAGCCCGCCGCCUGGGGAGUACGGCGCAAGGGCUGAAACUUAAAGGAAUUGGCCGGGGGAGCACCACAGGCGUGAAGCUUGCGUUUAAUUGGAGUCACGCCGGA